This 446-nucleotide ribosomal RNA is filed under the name uncultured bacterium. RNAcentral describes it as "SSU rRNA". It matches the Rfam family "Bacterial small subunit ribosomal RNA", at positions 26 to 518 of the family's 1533-position model. The record is from RNAcentral.
AGAGCGAACGCUGGCGGCAGGCUUAACACAUGCAAGUCGAGCGGGCGUAGCAAUACGUCAGCGGCAGACGGGUGAGUAACGCGUGGGAACAUACCUUUUGGUUCGGAACAACACAGGGAAACUUGUGCUAAUACCGGAUAAGCCCUUACGGGGAAAGAUUUAUCGCCGAAAGAUUGGCCCGCGUCUGAUUAGCUAGUUGGUGAGGUAACGGCUCACCAAGGCGACGAUCAGUAGCUGGUCUGAGAGGAUGAUCAGCCACAUUGGGACUGAGACACGGCCCAAACUCCUACGGGAGGCAGCAGUGGGGAAUAUUGGACAAUGGGCGCAAGCCUGAUCCAGCCAUGCCGCGUGAGUGAUGAAGGCCUUAGGGUUGUAAAGCUCUUUCGCCCGCGACGAUGAUGACGGUAGCGGGAGAAGAAGCCCGGCUAACUCGUGCCAGCAGCCGC